GUAUAGCAAUAGCUAAUUGCACCAACAAAUAGUUGAUGCAAUAUCGACUAUGUCGAAUAAAAUUCUAGGUAGAAUUAUGAUAAUGACAUUGUCUGCCUAUGUGUCUUGACCAAAUUACGUGCCAGCAGUCGCGGUAAUACGUAGAAGACUAGUGUUAUUCAUCUUUAAUAGGUUUAAAGGGUACCUAGACGGUAAAUCAAGCCUUCAAGGGGACUAAUUUACUAGAGUUACUUGUGAGGGGGUAUUAAAGUACUAAUGGUGUAGAGAUGAAAUUCUGUCAUACCUAUUUUCGGAAGAAAAAUUAUGGCACAGGUAUAGGCGAAAGCAUCCCCUUAUGUGAUAACUGACGUUGAAGGACGAAGGCUUUGUGUCGCGAACAGGAUUAGAUACCCCAGUAGUCAAAGCAGAAAAUGAUGAAUGUCAUAGAUUAGACAGUUAGUUUAUUCUAUAAAUGAAAGUGUAAGCAUUCCACCUCAAGAGUAAUUUGGCAACAUUGGAACUGAAAUCAUUAGACCGUUUCUGAAACCAGUAGUGAAGUAUGUUGUUUAAUUUGAUGGCCCGCAAAAAACCUUACCACAAUUUGAAUAUUUAUAUCUUUUCAUAUCUUUUUUCUAUUUAAAAGAUGGAAGCUAUGAUAAAAAAAAGAUAUCUUUACAAGCGUUGCACGGCUGUCUUCAGUUAAUGUCGUGAGACUAUGGUUAGUUCCAUUAAAUUAACGUAAACCCUUACUUUAUUUUUAUAUAAAGUAGUUCUCCACUAGAUUGGAUAAGAUAACAGGGACUAAGACAAGUCAUCAUGGCCUAAAUAUUG
Molecule: ribosomal RNA, 810 nt
Filed under: Lecanora intumescens
Lineage: Eukaryota; Fungi; Ascomycota; Lecanoromycetes; Lecanorales; Lecanoraceae
Description: SSU rRNA
Rfam family: Bacterial small subunit ribosomal RNA
Source: RNAcentral